RNAcentral lists this small RNA (22 nucleotides) under Arabidopsis thaliana (thale cress). RNAcentral describes it as "ATSL253900". The record is from RNAcentral. Lineage: Eukaryota; Viridiplantae; Streptophyta; Magnoliopsida; Brassicales; Brassicaceae.
AAAAAAAAAUGAAAAAGGAGAG